This is a long non-coding RNA of Macadamia integrifolia, 344 nucleotides long. RefSeq lists it as uncharacterized. NCBI's taxonomy places the organism in Eukaryota, Viridiplantae, Streptophyta, Magnoliopsida, Proteales, Proteaceae. The record is from RefSeq and is a predicted model, not a curated record. The transcript is spliced from 3 exons.
CGGUUUUACGCUGCUUACAGCUUAAUAGUCUAUGCUUUCGUAGCUUCGGGCAGACUGGGUGAAGAGAGAGAGAGAGCGACAGAGAGAGGGAGAGACAGAGACAGAGAGGGCAUCUAAAACGAGGAUUCAAGGUUGAUGUAUCGGUAAUGGAGGAUUCAAGCACUCCUCGUUUUAGAUGCCCUCACUGUGCUGGCCCUCUUUCGAAAGAAAUGGAAACCAGCAAUUGGACUGUUCCCCCGCUCAUCAGGGAUAGCUUUUCCAUGAUUGGUUCUGCUGUUGGUGGCACAACAAGCGCAUUCUAUUGUUUUAACCAUGGUAUGUGAAUCGCCGUGGAUGUUCUUUGC